UCCACAGUGUCCCUCUCCCUUUCCCACUUUUGCUCGCACGCACUAGCACUCUAGCCGGCGACCAGCGCUGCCAGAUCUGCCACCUCCGCCUGAAGAAGAAGGGAAACCACGGGGCAUGCCGUGAUAAUCGCGGCGGAGGUGGCGGGAACCAUCUCGGAGCGAGGGCGCAUGAAACCGCAGCAAGUUCCGGGAUAAUCGUCGAGGUAAGCCCGUUUACCGUAGGGAUUUUGGCGAUUAUCGUGAUUUGGCUUUGGGCCUUCUCGUGCCGCGAUUUUGUGAGAUUAUCGUCCUAAACCGCGGUCUACAAGUCUCUACGAUAAUCAUGCGAAACGGUGCGAUAAUCGCGCCUUACCACGCGAAAUGGUAGCUGAAACCGUCACGAUUUUGUUUGAAUUUUUAAAUUUGAUUUCGUGCUGUUUUUGAUCGAUUAUCUUGAUAAUUGUCGAUUAUCAUGGCUCUCCACAGGAGCGGUUGGAGUGCCUCCACGAUAAAUACGACCCUGGUUGCUGCUCGGCCCUUCCCACUCCUCGAGGACAGAAUUCCGUCGUUCUCAAACAUAAGUGAUUUCCAUAAUUAAAUUUCAUUUCUCAUCAAUUAUAUAUCAUUCAAAUUUAUGUUUAUUUUAUCCCAACCACCGUUCACUCUCUAUGGUAAAGAGAGACAUUAUAGUUCUUUUAUUAUAUUCUUAAUUUAUUCAAAAUAACUAUAAUACAAUAUAUUUGAAUAAGGAGCUACGAAUGUGUUAAAAGCAAUGAUGGGUAGCGCCCUAGCGGGGACUCGUUCCGCUGCGGCAUGCAUGCUUUCCUUCGACUGUGGGACCGUGAAGGCCUUUGUCUGCUGUACACUGCAUGCACUGCACCCUGUACUACUCCCUCCAGUGCAUAUAUCUAUUGCACAAUAUAAGAAAAAUUGACCUAAAUUCUGUUGGAAAUUUGGUCUUUUUUAAUAUUUAAUCCAGA
Molecule: long non-coding RNA, 959 nt
Filed under: Oryza brachyantha (malo sina)
Lineage: Eukaryota; Viridiplantae; Streptophyta; Magnoliopsida; Poales; Poaceae
Description: long non-coding RNA (OBRA_LNC001024)
Source: RNAcentral